Molecule: ribosomal RNA, 377 nt
Filed under: uncultured Anaerolineae bacterium
Lineage: Bacteria; Bacillati; Chloroflexota; Anaerolineae
Description: bacterial SSU rRNA
Rfam family: Bacterial small subunit ribosomal RNA
Source: RNAcentral
UAAUACGGGGGGGGCCAGCGUUGUUCGGAAUUAUUGGGCGUAAAGGGCGCGCAGGUGGUCGUGCAAGUCAGUUGUGAAAUCCCUUGGCUUACCCAAGGAACUGCUUCUGAUACUGCACGACUUGAGUCCGGGAGAGGAGAGCGGAAUUCCCAGUGUAGCGGUGGAAUGCGUAGAUAUUGGGAGGAACACCAGUGGCGAAGGCGGCUCUCUGGACCGGUACUGACGCUGAGGCGCGAAAGCUAGGGUAGCAAACAGGAUUAGAUACCCUGGUAGUCCUAGCUGUAAACGAUGGGCACUUGGUGUUGCGGGUGUUGACCCCUGCAGUGCCGUAGCUAACGCGAUAAGUGCCCCGCCUGGGGAGUACGGUCGCAAGGCUG